AUGAACGCUAGCGGCAGGCUUAACACAUGCAAGUCGAGGGGCAGCAUACCCGGUGACGGGUGAUGGCGACCGGCGGAAGGGUGAGUAACGCGUGAGCAACAUACCCGUAUCAGUGGGAUAAUACAGGGAAACUUGUUCUAAUAUCACAUAAUAUUAUUCAGAGGCAUCUUUGGAUAAUUAAAGUUCAGGCGGAUACGGAAUGGCUCGCGUGACAUUAGCUAGAUGGUAGGGUAAAGGCCUACCAUGGCUAUGAUGUCUAGGGGUUCUGAGAGGGAGGUCCCCCACACUGGAACUGAGACACGGUCCAGACUCCUACGGGAGGCAGCAGUGAGGAAUAUUGGACAAUGGAUGAAAAUCUGAUCCAGCCAUGCCGCGUGCAGGAAGGCGGCCCUAUGGGUUGUAAACUGCUUUUGUACGGGAGCAAUAAGGUCUACGAGUAGAUUGAUGAGAGUACUGUACGAAUAAGCAUCGGCUAACUCCGUG
This 483-nucleotide ribosomal RNA is filed under the name uncultured bacterium. RNAcentral's name for it is "bacterial SSU rRNA". It matches the Rfam family "Bacterial small subunit ribosomal RNA", at positions 29 to 507 of the family's 1533-position model. The record is from RNAcentral.